RNAcentral lists this ribosomal RNA (493 nucleotides) under uncultured bacterium. RNAcentral describes it as "partial 16S ribosomal RNA". It matches the Rfam family "Bacterial small subunit ribosomal RNA", at positions 29 to 523 of the family's 1533-position model. The record is from RNAcentral.
AUUGAACGCUGGCGGCAUGCUUUACACAUGCAAGUCGAACGGUAACAGGUUAAGCUGACGAGUGGCGAACGGGUGAGUAAUGCAUCGGAACGUGCCCGAUCGUGGGGGAUAACGCAGCGAAAGCUGCGCUAAUACCGCAUACGAUCUGAGGAUGAAAGCGGGGGACCGUAAGGCCUCGCGCGAUCGGAGCGGCCGAUGUCAGAUUAGGUAGUUGGUGGGGUAAAGGCCCACCAAGCCGACGAUCUGUAGCUGGUCUGAGAGGACGACCAGCCACACUGGGAAGGAGACACGGACGAGACGCCUGCGGGAGGAAGCAGUGGGGAAUUUUGGACAAUGGGCGAAAGCCUGAUCCAGCAAUGCCGCGUGCAGGAAGAAGGCCUUCGGGUUGUAAACUGCUUUUGUACGGAGCGAAAAGGUCCUUUCUAAUACAAGGGGCUCAUGACGGUACCGUAAGAAUAAGCACCGGCUAACUACGUGCCAGCAGCCGCCGUAA